Molecule: ribosomal RNA, 406 nt
Filed under: uncultured bacterium
Lineage: Bacteria
Description: bacterial SSU rRNA
Rfam family: Bacterial small subunit ribosomal RNA
Source: RNAcentral
CGGUGAGUAAUAUAUCGGAACGUACCUUCAGGUGGGGAUAACGUAGCGAAAGUUACGCUAAUACCGCAUAUUCUGUGAGCAGGAAAGCAGGGGAUCGCAAGACCUUGCGCUGAUUGAGCGGCCGAUAUCAGAUUAGCUAGUUGGUGAGGUAAAGGCUCACCAAGGCGACGAUCUGUAGCGGGUCUGAGAGGAUGAUCCGCCACACUGGAACUGAGACACGGUCCAGACUCCUACGGGAGGCAGCAGUGGGGAAUUUUGGACAAUGGGCGCAAGCCUGAUCCAGCCAUGCCGCGUGAGUGAAGAAGGCCUUCGGGUUGUAAAGCUCUUUCGGCCGGGAAGAAAUCGCACAGGUUAAUACCCUGUGUGGAUGACGGUACCGGAAUAAGAAGCACCGGCUAACUACGUG